GAUGAAGAACGCAGCGAAAUGCGAUAAGUAAUGUGAAUUGCAGAAUUCAGUGAAUCAUCGAAUCUUAGAACGCACAUUGCGCCCGCCAGUAUUCUGGCGGGCAUGCCUGUUCGAGCGUCAUUACAACCCUCAGGCCCCCGGGCCUGGCGUUGGGGAUCGGCGGAAGCCCCCUGUGGGCACACGCCGUCCCUCAAAUACAGUGGCGGUCCCGCCGCAGCUUCCAUUGCGUAGUAGCUAACACCUCGCAACUGGAGAGCGGCGCGGCCAUGCCGUAAAACACCCAACUUCUGAAUGUUGACCUCGAAUCAGGUAGGAAUACCCGCUGAACUUAAGCAUAUCAAUAAGCGGAGGA
Molecule: unclassified non-coding RNA, 352 nt
Filed under: soil metagenome
Description: partial contains 5.8S ribosomal RNA, internal transcribed spacer 2, and large subunit ribosomal RNA
Rfam family: 5.8S ribosomal RNA (bases 1-120)
Source: RNAcentral